CAAUCCUGGUUUCUACUAGCCACCAUUUAAAGGAGACUUGUGAUAAGACUUCCUUAGGUUGCAUAUUACAGAAGACUAAUUUAGGAAACAGGCAUGGUGCAGAGGCAGGGUUUUGGAGCCACGUUUCGUUACCUGCUACCACCCCAAAUACCACAGAUUAUCUAGGCCAAGCCCUUGGACUUCUGCUUGCAUAUCUUCCCCUUCAAUCUGUCAUAGUGCCUGGGGCCAUUACCAAAAUGAAGGCAUCAGGUGCCCCCAGUGGGACUCUUCUUGCUGAACAUGAAAAUCUCCAGUCUCCGUGAGCUGAGCUGAUCACCUUGCACACCUGUUAUUGUUAAGGGAAGAAACAGGCCCUUUUAUGGCUCAGGUUGUUUGCUCCAUCCUGGCACCUGUAUCAGGACAGCAACACCAUGCCCUGCAAGUGUCCUUUUGCUCUGCUGCCUGUGCAGACUCAGGGCAGCUGUCACAAGGAUAAAGAUCUGCGUUUUGUUAAAUCAGUCAAGGAGCCUUUGAAGAUAUCUUCUAACUCCAGACAUAAGGAAGUAUGAGAGCAGGCAAUGGUCUCCCAGAAGUCCUGCAUCAGAUGUGGCUUGGAUGUCCUAGGAGGUCUCAAAGGGUGUUAGAGAUGUCUGAAAUACUAUACAUCUCACUCCAACAGAAAAAGUCCAAACCCUUCUGCUUGAGACAAAGAAAUGGCAUUGUAGCAUCUGUGAAGUGCCUUUUUUAACCAUUUGCCAUCCUGCAUAGUAUCAGUAAUAUUUUUCUUG
This 767-nucleotide long non-coding RNA is filed under the name Manacus vitellinus (golden-collared manakin). RNAcentral describes it as "lncRNA (ENSMVIG00005014981.1)". The record is from RNAcentral. Lineage: Eukaryota; Metazoa; Chordata; Aves; Passeriformes; Pipridae.